Molecule: unclassified non-coding RNA, 218 nt
Filed under: rhizosphere metagenome
Description: partial ribosomal RNA internal transcribed spacer region
Source: RNAcentral
GUAGGUGAACCUGCGGAAGGAUCAUUAAAAAUGAAGCCGGGAAACCGGUCCUUCUAACCCUUGAUUAUCUUAAUUUGUUGCUUUGGUGGGCCGCGCAAGCACUGGCUUCGGCUGGUUAGUGCCCGCCAGAGGACCCAAACUCUAAUGUUUCUUAUUGUAACUUCUGAGUAAAACAAACAAAUAAAUCAAAACUUUCAACAACGGAUCUCUUGGUUCUG